AGAGAGCGACGGGCGAUAUGUACACACUCCAGAGCUCAUUUCAUAUAAAUAUUUUAUCUUUAUUUUACUACUAAAUCCACCUUCAUAAUAAUUAUACAACUAUUAAUCCGUAAUAAUUCCAGAUUAUUGUAACCCACUACUCCCAAAUUCAUUGACUGCACCUUGACCUGAUGUCAUAGUAAUAAACUAAUUAGAUAAUAUUUUUCAAAAAUAAUCUGACAACGGCGGUAUACAAACUGAAAAACAAAAAUAUGUAUAUUUAAUCGUGGAAUAUCGAUACAAGAGCAGGUUCCUCUAGUAAGAAUGAAGUACCGCCAAAUUCUUUAGGUUUAGACAAUCAUUUACUACCCAGGCAUCUAACAAUAAAGAAUAAUAGGGUAUCUAAUCCUAGUUUAAAUCUUUAUUUCAAAAGAAUGUAAAGUUUUUUUUAUAUUAUUAUUAUGUAUAUUUUAAAAUUUCACCUUUAAAUUUACACUCAAAAAAUUAUUUUAAAACAUAUUUUUACUCAUUUCCACCAAACAAUUAUAUUUGAUCCUAUCGUAUAACC
RNAcentral lists this ribosomal RNA (547 nucleotides) under Lepidurus apus lubbocki. RNAcentral describes it as "partial 12S ribosomal RNA". Lineage: Eukaryota; Metazoa; Arthropoda; Branchiopoda; Notostraca; Triopsidae. The record is from RNAcentral.